RNAcentral lists this ribosomal RNA (514 nucleotides) under uncultured bacterium. Its description in RNAcentral is "bacterial SSU rRNA". It matches the Rfam family "Bacterial small subunit ribosomal RNA", at positions 28 to 536 of the family's 1533-position model. The record is from RNAcentral.
GAUGAACGCUAGCGGGAGGCUUAACACAUGCAAGUCGAGGGGCAGCAUAGGGUAGCAAUACUCUGAUGGCGACCGGCAAACGGGUGAGUAACGCGUAUGCAACCUACCCUGUACAGGGGGAUAACCCGGAGAAAUUCGGACUAAUAUCCCGUAAUAAUAUCCGGAGGCAUCUUUGGAUAUUUAAAGUUCCGACGGUACGGGAUGGGCAUGCGUAACAUUAGCUGGUUGGUAAGUAACGGCUUACCAAGGCUAUGAUGUUUAGGGGUCCUGAGAGGGUGGUCCCCACACUGGUACUGAGACACGGACCAGACUCCUACGGGAGGCAGCAGUGAGGAAUAUUGGUCAAUGGGCGCAAAGCCUGAACCAGCCAUCCCGCGUGCAGGAAGACGGCCCUAUGGGUUGUAAACUGCUUUUCCAGGGAGAGAAAACUUACGCACGUGUUGCGUGACUGACGGUACCUGGGAAUAAGCAUCGGCUAACUCCGUGCCAGCAGCCGCGGUAAAAAGUGUGUGUA